RNAcentral lists this ribosomal RNA (253 nucleotides) under uncultured bacterium. RNAcentral describes it as "partial 16S ribosomal RNA". It matches the Rfam family "Bacterial small subunit ribosomal RNA", at positions 524 to 776 of the family's 1533-position model. The record is from RNAcentral.
UACAUGGGGUGCAAACGUUGCUCGGAAUUAUUGGGCGUAAAGCGCACGUAGGCGGUUCGUUAAGUCAGAUGUGAAAGCCCCCGGCUCAACUGGGGAGGGUCAUUCGAUACUGAUCGACUCGAAGGCAGGAGAGGGAAGCGGAAUUCCCGGUGUAGUGGUGAAAUGCGUAGAUAUCGGGAGGAACACCAGUGGCGAAGGCGGCUUCCUGGCCUGUUCUUGACGCUGAGGCGCGAAAGCUAGGGGAGCAAACGGG